This is a long non-coding RNA of Austrofundulus limnaeus, 1298 nucleotides long. RefSeq lists it as uncharacterized. NCBI's taxonomy places the organism in Eukaryota, Metazoa, Chordata, Actinopteri, Cyprinodontiformes, Rivulidae. The transcript has 3 exons. The record is from RefSeq and is a predicted model, not a curated record.
CAAAUGCUUUAAAGAGGAGAAAACUUCCUUCCAUAUCUCUGCAGCUGAGUUUAUACAUUGUUGUUGUAGUACUGCAAAUAUUUUCUUUGUUGGUUUCCUAAUUACUUCUUUGCACUUUGCAGUGUUUGUUUUUAACACCAUGUGUUUUUUACGUGUGGAGUGUAAGCCCAUGAGGGCUGGGCACCAGAAGGUGCACGACACUUAAAUAAAAUUAAUCAAAUCAAAAUUAACAUCACUUAUCUAAAGAGCAUUAAACAUGUUUGGUUGUUUUCUCUUUUAUUUUUCUUCCUUGCUGAAUAGCUGGCUGCAUUUGACAAUUUCUUUACUGCUGGAGGUCGUAAAACCAUUUCCUUCAUCAAGAGUCGGAGAUCCCAGGUAUAGUGUGGACGCUCAUAUUCUGGACCAAGCAAAGAUGGAAAAACACUGAGGUUGUUUYUUGCUGAUUUAGCUCAGACAGACCUCACAGGCUUGUGCUGUGUCUUCAUUCGGACUGAAGCAGAUGUUCCUCUGAGAAGAUACAUGAGGURAGGUGGUUUGUGUAAAUAUCCAUAUUUUUCUAUUAAUGUAUUUUAGUGGCAUGACUGGGAUAAAAAAAAUCUCUUUUUCAUGUACAUAUAAGAUAAAAAUGGUGGCGUUUUUGCUUUUAAAUGUAAUAACUGCAACCUUUGUAAUAUAAUGCUUAUAAUACAUCCCAGAAACUGAAUUUGGACUUGCCCUAAUGUGUCAAGUGCAUUUAUUUGAAAGCAUAUCAGUGCAAAUGUUUGCAGCUCUUGAAAUAAUAAAAGUCAAGUGCAGGUAAGAAAAACUGGGUUAUCUAUGGUUCAAGCAUUUGAUUAUAAAAUCUCUGGAGGUUUUCUCAUUCUACUGGGUUGAGACCCUCUGGAAGAACCAGACUCAGAACUUGCUGGAGGGAUUAUGUGAUGUCUUUGGCCUGAGAACGCCUUGAGAUCCUUCAGGAGGCACUGGGGAGAGGGAUGUCUGGGUUUACCUCCYGAAUCGUUGCCUCCUCGACUGGACCAAGUGGGAGAAAAUGAACGGAUUAAUGGAAAUCUUUUUCUCAGUGACUGAUGCCAGAGACGACCUCCUGAAAGGAAUAAGGAACACCUACAAAUUUGUGCUGCCUGCAUUUGAAGCGCAGGGAAUUUGCCUUAGAAAAAUCCAGGCAUGGAGAGAAAAUUAAAAAGAACUUCCCGCAUGAAAUGAAACAAUGUCUGAACUCUACAGAUGGUAAUUUAAUUUGUUGUUGCUUUUUUAUGUUGUCUCCUGCAGUCUUUUGAGUGUGGAUCUUUAGAAGGGAU